RNAcentral lists this ribosomal RNA (497 nucleotides) under uncultured bacterium. Its description in RNAcentral is "partial 16S ribosomal RNA". It matches the Rfam family "Bacterial small subunit ribosomal RNA", at positions 28 to 507 of the family's 1533-position model. The record is from RNAcentral.
GAUGAACGCUGGCGGCGUGCCUAAUACAUGCAAGUCGAGCGAACAGACGAGGAUCUUGCUCCUCUGACGUUAGCGGCGGACGGGUGAGUAACACGUGGAUAACCUACCUAUAAGACUGGGAUAACUUCGGGAAACCGGAGCUAAUACCGGAUAAUAUAUUGAACCGCAUGGUUCAAUAGUGAAAGACGGUUUUGCUGUCACUUAUAGGUGGAUCCGCGCCGCAUUAGCUAGUUGGUAAGGUAACGGCUUACCAAGGCAACGAUGCGUAGCCGACCUGAGAGGGUGAUCGGCCACACUGGAACUGAGACACGGUCCAGACUCCUACGGGAGGCAGCAGUAGGGAAUCUUCCGCAAUGGGCGAAAGCCUGACGGAGCCACGCCGCGUGAGUGAUGAAGGUCUUCGGAUCGUAAAACUCUGUUAUUAGGGAAGAACAAAUGUGUAAGUAACUAUGCACGUCUUGACGGUACCUAAUCAGAAAGCAACGGCUAACUACGUG